RNAcentral lists this ribosomal RNA (706 nucleotides) under uncultured Lactobacillus sp. Its description in RNAcentral is "bacterial SSU rRNA". It matches the Rfam family "Bacterial small subunit ribosomal RNA", at positions 793 to 1502 of the family's 1533-position model. The record is from RNAcentral. Lineage: Bacteria; Bacillati; Bacillota; Bacilli; Lactobacillales; Lactobacillaceae.
GUCCAUACGUAAACGAUGAAUGCUAAGUGUUGGAGGGUUUCCCCUUUCAGUGCUGCAGCUAACGCAUUAAGCAUUCCGCUGGGGAGUACGGCCGCAAGGCUGAAACUCAAAGGAAUUGACGGGGGCCCGCAUAAGCGGUGGAGCAUGUGGUUUAAUUCGAAGCUACGCGAAGAACCUUACCAGGUCUUGACAUACUAUGCAAAUCUAAGAGAUUAGACGUUCCCUUCGGGGACAUGGAUACAGGUGGUGCAUGGUUGUCGUCAGCUCGUGUCGUGAGAUGUUGGGUUAAGUCCCGCAACGAGCGCAACCCUUAUUAUCAGUUGCCAGCAUUAAGUUGGGCACUCUGGUGAGACUGCCGGUGACAAACCGGAGGAAGGUGGGGAUGACGUCAAAUCAUCAUGCCCCUUAUGACCUGGGCUACACACGUGCUACAAUGGAUGGUACAACGAGUUGCGAACUCGCGAGAGUAAGCUAAUCUCUUAAAGCCAUUCUCAGUUCGGAUUGUAGGCUGCAACUCGCCUACAUGAAGUCGGAAUCGCUAGUAAUCGCGGAUCAGCAUGCCGCGGUGAAUACGUUCCCGGGCCUUGUACACACCGCCCGUCACACCAUGAGAGUUUGUAACACCCAAAGUCGGUGGGGUAACCUUUAGGAACCAGCCGCCUAAGGUGGGACAGAUGAUUAGGGUGAAGUCGUAACAAGGUAACCA